GUAAAGGUUAGGGAGCCCACCCUUCAUCUGCAUCGCCGACACAACGCUCUUCUUCAAGCCAUGGCAACCCCAAACAUCCAGAGUUUCGAGUUUGGAGAGCACAUCAUUGCGUUGCUCCACCGUGGGUGGUCCAUCAAAUAAAUGCUCCAUUCCUCCACAAUAAGACACUCUAACCUUGGUUAAAUUAUCCAUUCCUUGCAAUAAAACGGAUGGGAGUAGAUGCUUUAGUUUAGGACAGUCGUACACUUCCAGCUUCUUAAGUUUGGAGAGCACAUCAUUGCGUUGCUCCACCGUGGGUGGUCCAUCAAAUAAAUGCUCCAUUCCUCUACAAUGAAACACUGUCACAUCGGUUAAAUUAUCCAUUCCUUGCAAUAAAACGGAUGGGAGUAGAUGCUUUAGUUCAGGACAUUCCUCCACUUCCACCUCCUUAAGGUUAUGAA
This is a long non-coding RNA of Magnolia sinica, 440 nucleotides long. RefSeq lists it as uncharacterized. The transcript is spliced from 3 exons. Lineage: Eukaryota; Viridiplantae; Streptophyta; Magnoliopsida; Magnoliales; Magnoliaceae. The record is from RefSeq and is a predicted model, not a curated record.